CUGCCUUAGAUAUGCUAACAAGAGACACAAUGCUAAUGGCCAUACUGAAUGGGUGAAUACCACUGGGUCCAAUUAUUAGGCAUAUUUGUGUGGUCAUCAGGAUGAGGUUCUGGCUGAAAGCCAUAUUUACUUUAAUAAGUGGCC
Bufo bufo (common toad) is the source of this 144-nucleotide long non-coding RNA. RefSeq lists it as uncharacterized. The transcript has 3 exons. NCBI's taxonomy places the organism in Eukaryota, Metazoa, Chordata, Amphibia, Anura, Bufonidae. The record is from RefSeq and is a predicted model, not a curated record.